AACGAACGCUGGCGGCAUGCCUAACACAUGCAAGUCGAACGAGACCUUCGGGUCUAGUGGCGCACGGGUGCGUAACGCGUGGGAACCUGCCCUUAGGUUCGGACUAACUCCCCGAAAGGGGUGCUAAUACCGGAUAAUGUCUUCGGCCCAAAGAUUUAUCGCGCUUGGAUGUGCCCGCGUUGAAUUAGCUCGUUGGUAUGGUAAGAGCCUACGAAGGCGACGAUCAAUAACUGGUCUGUGAGGCUGAUCAGCCACUCUGGGAGUGAGACACGGCCCAGACUCCUACGGGAGGCAGCAGUGGGGAAUAUUGGACAAUGGGCUAAAGCAUGAUCCAGCAAUGCCGGGUGAGUGAUGAAGGCCUUAGGGUUGUAAAGCGCUUGUACCCGGGAUGAUAAUGACAGUACCGGGAGAAUAAGCUCCGGCUAACUCCGUG
This 433-nucleotide ribosomal RNA is filed under the name uncultured bacterium. Its description in RNAcentral is "partial 16S ribosomal RNA". It matches the Rfam family "Bacterial small subunit ribosomal RNA", at positions 29 to 507 of the family's 1533-position model. The record is from RNAcentral.